RNAcentral lists this ribosomal RNA (497 nucleotides) under uncultured bacterium. Its description in RNAcentral is "partial 16S ribosomal RNA". It matches the Rfam family "Bacterial small subunit ribosomal RNA", at positions 28 to 507 of the family's 1533-position model. The record is from RNAcentral.
GAUGAACGCUGGCGGCGUGCCUAAUACAUGCAAGUCGAGCGAACAGACGAGGAGCUUGCUCCUCUGACGUUAGCGGCGGACGGGUGAGUAACACGUGGAUAACCUACCUAUAAGACUGGGAUAACUUCGGGAAACCGUAGCUAAUACCGGAUAAUAUAUUGAACCGCAUGGUUCAAUAGUGAAAGACGGUUUUGCUGUCACUUAUAGAUGGAUCCGCGCUGCAUUAGCUAGUUGGUAAGGUAACGGCUUACCAAGGCAACGAUGCGUAGCCGACCUGAGAGGGUGAUCGGCCACACUGGAACUGAGACACGGUCCAGACUCCUACGGGAGGCAGCAGUAGGGAAUCUUCCGCAAUGGGCGAAAGCCUGACGGAGCAACGCCGCGUGAGUGAUGAAGGUCUUCGGAUCGUAAAACUCUGUUAUUAGGGAAGAACAAAUGUGUAAGUAACUGUGCACGUCUUGACGGUACCUAAUCAGAAAGCCACGGCUAACUACGUG